UACGUAGGGUGCAAGCGUUAUCCGGAAUUAUUGGGCGUAAAGAGCUCGUAGGCGGUUCGUCACGUCGGCUGUGAAAUCCCGAGGCUCAACCUCGGGUCUGCAGUCGAUACGGGCGGACUUGAGUACUGCAGGGGAGACUGGAAUUCCCUGGUGUAGCGGUGGAAUGCGCAGAUAUCAGGAGGAACACCAAUGGCGAAGGCAGGUCUCUGGGCCACUACUGACGUGAGAAGCGAAAGCUGGGGAGCGAACAGG
RNAcentral lists this ribosomal RNA (252 nucleotides) under uncultured bacterium. Its description in RNAcentral is "partial 16S ribosomal RNA". It matches the Rfam family "Bacterial small subunit ribosomal RNA", at positions 524 to 776 of the family's 1533-position model. The record is from RNAcentral.